AGAAUCAACGCUGGCGGCGUGCCUAACACAUGCAAGUCGAACGAGAAAGUGGAGCAAUCCAUGAGUAAAGUGGCGCACGGGUGAGUAACACGUGACUAACCUACCCUUGAGUGGGGAAUAACUGAGGGAAACCUUAGCUAAUACCGCAUAAUACCUACGGGUCAAAGGAGCAAUUCGCUUAAGGAGGGGGUCGCGGCCGAUUAGUUAGUUGGCGGGGUAAUGGCCCACCAAGACUAUGAUCGGUA
RNAcentral lists this ribosomal RNA (245 nucleotides) under uncultured bacterium. RNAcentral's name for it is "partial small subunit ribosomal RNA". It matches the Rfam family "Bacterial small subunit ribosomal RNA", at positions 26 to 285 of the family's 1533-position model. The record is from RNAcentral.